This 1723-nucleotide ribosomal RNA is filed under the name marine metagenome. Its description in RNAcentral is "bacterial LSU rRNA". It matches the Rfam family "Bacterial large subunit ribosomal RNA", at positions 422 to 2128 of the family's 2925-position model. The record is from RNAcentral.
ACACGUGUUAUCUUGACUGAACAUGGGGGGACCAUCCUCCAAGGCUAAAUACUACCAACUGACCGAUAGUGAACUAGUACCGUGAGGGAAAGGUUAAAAGAACCCCGGAGAGGGGAGUGAAAUAGAUCCUGAAACCGUAUGCGUACAAGCAGUAGGAGCAGACUUGUUCUGUGACUGCGUACCUUUUGUAUAAUGGGUCAGCGACUUAUUUUCAGUGGCAAGGUUAACCGUUUAGGGGAGCCGUAGGGAAACCGAGUCUUAAUAGGGCGUCUUAGUCGCUGGGAAUAGACCCGAAACCGGGCGAUCUAUCCAUGGCCAGGUUGAAGGUUGAGUAACAUCAACUGGAGGACCGAACCCACUAAUGUUGAAAAAUUAGGGGAUGAGCUGUGGAUCGGAGUGAAAGGCUAAUCAAGCCCGGAGAUAGCUGGUUCUCCUCGAAAGCUAUUUAGGUAGCGCCUCAUGUCUCACCACUGGGGGUAGAGCACUGUUUCGGCUAGGGGGUCAUACCGACUUACCAACCCGAUGCAAACUCCGAAUACCGGUGAGUGCAAUCAUGGGAGACACACGGCGGGUGCUAACGUUCGUCGUGGAGAGGGAAACAACCCAGACCGCCAGCUAAGGUCCCAAAUAUCAGUUAAGUGGGAAACGAUGUGGGAAGGCUCAGACAGCUAGGAGGUUGGCUUAGAAGCAGCCAUCCUUUAAAGAAAGCGUAAUAGCUCACUAGUCGAGUCGGCCUGCGCGGAAGAUUUAACGGGGCUAAACUGAUAACCGAAGCUGCGGAUGCAUGCUUGCAUGCAUGGUAGAGGAGCGUUCUGUAAGCCGUUGAAGGUAAACCGGGAGGUUUGCUGGAGGUAUCAGAAGUGCGAAUGCUGACAUGAGUAACGAUAAGGGGGGUGAAAAACCCCCCCGCCGAAAGAUCAAGGUUUCCUGUCCAACGUUAAUCGGGACAGGGUGAGUCGGCACCUAAGGCGAGGGCGAAGGCCGUAGUCGAUGGAAAAUCGGUUAAAAUUCCGAUACCGAUUCUUACUGCGAUGGAGGGACGGAGCAGGCUAGGCUAGCACGGCGUUGGUAGUCCGUGUUUAAGCGUGUAGGUAGGGGGAUUAGGUAAAUCCGGUUCCUCGUUAAUCUGAGACGUGAUGACGAUCUCUUGGGGCGACCCUUGAGAGAAGUAGUUGAUGCCAUACUUCCAGGAAAAUCUUCUAAGCUUCAGGUAAGAAUUGACCGUACUGUAAACCGACACAGGUGAUCAGGUAGAGAAUACCAAGGCGCUUGAGAGAACUUGGGUGAAGGAACUAGGCAAAAUGGUACCGUAACUUCGGGAGAAGGUACGCUCUCUUUGGUGAUGGGACUUGCUCCCUAAGCUGAGGAGAGUCGAAGUGACCAGGUGGCUGCAACUGUUUAUUAAAAACAUAGCACUCUGCAAACUCGUGAGAGGAAGUAUAGGGUGUGACGCCUGCCCGGUGCCGGAAGGUUAAUUGAUGGGGUUAUCUUCGGAGAAGCUCUUGAUCGAAGCCCCGGUAAACGGCGGCCGUAACUAUAACGGUCCUAAGGUAGCGAAAUUCCUUGUCGGGUAAGUUCCGACCUGCACGAAUGGCGUAACGAUGGCCACACUGUCUCCACCCGAGACUCAGUGAAAUUGAAAUCGCUGUUAAGAUGCAGUGUACCCGCGGCUAGACGGAAAGACCCCGUGAACCUUUACUAUAGCUUCACACUGGACUUUGAC